Molecule: ribosomal RNA, 254 nt
Filed under: uncultured bacterium
Lineage: Bacteria
Description: partial 16S ribosomal RNA
Rfam family: Bacterial small subunit ribosomal RNA
Source: RNAcentral
UACGAAGGGGGCUAGCGUUGCUCGGAUUGACUGGGCGUAAAGGGCGCGUAGGCGGUUCGUACAGUCAGACGUGAAAUUCCUGGGCUCAACCUGGAGGGGUCAUUCGAUACUGCCGUGACUAGAGUUCGGUAGGGGAGUGUGGAAUUCCUGGUGGAGCGGUGAAAUGCGCAGAUAUCAGGAGGAACACCCGUAGCGAAGGCGGCACUCUGGGCCGAUACUGACACUGAGGAGCGAAAGCGUGGGGAGCGAACAGG